This 429-nucleotide ribosomal RNA is filed under the name uncultured bacterium. RNAcentral describes it as "bacterial SSU rRNA". It matches the Rfam family "Bacterial small subunit ribosomal RNA", at positions 28 to 457 of the family's 1533-position model. The record is from RNAcentral.
GAUGAACGCUAGCGGCAGGCUUAACACAUGCAAGUCGAGGGGUAACAGGGUGCUUGCACCGCUGACGACCGGCGCACGGGUGCGUAACGCGUAUACAAUCUGCCUUGUACUAGGGAAUAGCCUUUAGAAAUGAAGAUUAAUGCCCUAUAGUCUAUUUGAAUGGCAUCAUUUAAAUAGUAAAGGUUACGGUACAAGAUGAGUAUGCGUCCUAUUAGUUUGUUGGUGUGGUAACGGCACACCAAGACUACGAUAGGUAGGGGCCCUGAGAGGGGGAUCCCCCACACUGGUACUGAGACACGGACCAGACUCCUACGGGAGGCAGCAGUGAGGAAUAUUGGACAAUGGGCGAGAGCCUGAUCCAGCCAUGCCGCGUGCAGGAAGACGGCCCUAUGGGUUGUAAACUGCUUUUAAACAGGAAGAAACACCCCG